AGUCGUAACAAGGUUUCCGUAGGUGAACCUGCGGAAGGAUCAUUAAAGAAAUUUAAUAAUUUUGAAAAUGGAUUUUUUUGUUUUGGCAAGAGCAUGAGAGCUUUUACUGGGCAAGAAGACAAGAGAUGGAGAGUCCAGCCGGGCCUGCGCUUAAGUGCGCGGUCUUGCUAGGCUUGUAAGUUUCUUUCUUGCUAUUCCAAACGGUGAGAGAUUUCUGUGCUUUUGUUAUAGGACAAUUAAAACCGUUUCAAUACAACACACUGUGGAGUUUUCAUAUCUUUGCAACUUUUUCUUUGGGCAUUCGAGCAAUCGGGGCCCAGAGGUAACAAACACAAACAAUUUUAUCUAUUCAUUAAAUUUUUGUCAAAAACAAGAAUUUUCGUAACUGGAAAUUUUAAAAUAUUAAAAACUUUCAACAACGGAUCUCUUGGUUCUCGCAUCGAUGAAGAACGCAGCGAAAUGCGAUACGUAAUGUGAAUUGCAGAAUUCCGUGAAUCAUCGAAUCUUUGAACGCACAUUGCGCCCCUUGGUAUUCCAGGGGGCAUGCCUGUUUGAGCGUCAUUUCCUUCUCAAACAUUCUGUUUGGUAGUGAGUGAUACUCUUUGGAGUUAACUUGAAAUUGCUGGCCUUUUCAUUGGAUGUUUUUUUUCCAAAGAGAGGUUUCUCUGCGUGCUUGAGGUAUAAUGCAAGUACGGUCGUUUUAGGUUUUACCAACUGCGGCUAAUCUUUUUUUAUACUGAGCGUAUUGGAACGUUAUCGAUAAGAAGAGAGCGUCUAGGCGAACAAUGUUCUUAAAGUUUGACCUNCAAUCAGGUAGGAGUACCCGCUGAACUUAAGCAUAUCAAUAAGC
Molecule: ribosomal RNA, 850 nt
Filed under: uncultured eukaryote
Lineage: Eukaryota
Description: eukaryotic LSU rRNA
Rfam family: 5.8S ribosomal RNA (bases 408-561)
Source: RNAcentral